RNAcentral lists this ribosomal RNA (508 nucleotides) under uncultured bacterium. RNAcentral's name for it is "bacterial SSU rRNA". It matches the Rfam family "Bacterial small subunit ribosomal RNA", at positions 29 to 507 of the family's 1533-position model. The record is from RNAcentral.
AUGAACGCUAGCGACAGGCCUAACACAUGCAAGUCGAGGGGCAUCGGGGUGUAGCAAUACGCUGCCGGCGACCGGCGGAUGGGUGAGUAACGCGUAUGCAACCUGCCUUCAGCAGGGGGAUAGCCCGUUGAAAGACGGAUUAAUACCCCGUAACACAGGGGCUCCGCAUGGAGAUUAUUGUUAAAGGGAUGCUUCCUUCGGGGAGUAUUCCGGCUGAAGAUGGGCAUGCGUUCCAUUAGGUAGUUGGUUGAGGUAACGGCUCACCAAGCCUGCGAUGGAUAGGGGAACUGAGAAAGGUUGGUCCCCCACACUGGUACUGAGACACGGACCAGACUCCUACGGGAGGCAGCAGUGAGGAAUCUUGGUCAAUGGACGGAAGUCUGAACCAGCCAUGUCGCGUGAAGGAGGACGGCCCUAAGGGUUGUAAACUUCUUUUGCAGGGGAAUAAAGUAUUCCACGAGAUGGGAUAUUGCAAGUACGCUGCGAAUAAGGAUCGGCUAACUCCGUG